RNAcentral lists this ribosomal RNA (429 nucleotides) under Chloroflexota bacterium. Its description in RNAcentral is "Chloroflexi bacterium partial 16S ribosomal RNA". It matches the Rfam family "Bacterial small subunit ribosomal RNA", at positions 355 to 776 of the family's 1533-position model. Lineage: Bacteria; Bacillati; Chloroflexota. The record is from RNAcentral.
UGGGGAAUAUUGCACAAUGGGCGCAAGCCUGAUGCAGCCAUGCCGCGUGUGUGAAGAAGGCCUUCGGGUUGUAAAGCACUUUCAGCGUGGAGGAAGGCGUUAAGGUUAAUAACCUUGGCGAUUGACGUUACCCGCAGAAGAAGCACCGGCUAACUCCGUGCCAGCAGCCGCGGUAAUACGGAGGGUGCAAGCGUUAAUCGGAAUUACUGGGCGUAAAGCGCACGCAGGCGGUCUGUCAAGUCGGAUGUGAAAUCCCAGGGAUCAGCCUGGGAACUGCAUUCGAAACUGGCAGGCUAGAGUCUUGUAGAGGGGGGUAGAAUUCAAGGUGUAACGGUGAAAUGCGUAGAGAUCUGGAGGAAUACCGGUGGAGAAGGCGGCCCCCUGGACAAAGACUGACGCUCAGGUGCGAAAGAGUGGGGAGCAAACAGG